ACGAACGCUGGCGGCGUGCUUAACACAUGCAAGUCGAACGGUGACGCGCCUUCGGGCGCUGAUCAGUGGCGAACGGGUGAGUAACACGUGGGCAACCUGCCCCUAGCUCUGGGAUAACCCCUCGAAAGAGGAGCUAAUACCGGAUAUCACCGCACCAGGCAUCUGGAGCGGUUGAAAGUUUUUUCGGCUAGGGAUGGGCCCGCGGCCUAUCAGCUUGUUGGUGGGGUGAUGGCCCACCAAGGCGACGACGGGUAGCCGGCCUGAGAGGGCGACCGGCCACACUGGGACUGAGACACGGCCCAGACUCCUACGGGAGGCAGCAGUGGGGAAUAUUGCGCAAUGGGCGAAAGCCUGACGCAGCAACGCCGCGUGAGGGAAGACGGCCCUUGGGUUGUAAACCUCUUUCAGCAGGGACGAAGAUGACUGUACCUGCAGAAGAAGCGCCGGCUAACUACGU
This 457-nucleotide ribosomal RNA is filed under the name uncultured bacterium. Its description in RNAcentral is "bacterial SSU rRNA". It matches the Rfam family "Bacterial small subunit ribosomal RNA", at positions 29 to 506 of the family's 1533-position model. The record is from RNAcentral.